AUUGAACGCUGGCGGCAGGCUUAACACAUGCAAGUCGAGCGAGCGGCGGACGGGUGAGUCAUGUCUGGGAAACUGCCUGAUGGAGGGGGAUAACUACUGGAAACGGUAGAUAAUACCGCAUACCAUCAGAUGUGCCCAGAUGGGAUUAGCUAGUAGGUGGGGUAAAGGCUCACCUAGGAGACGAUCCCUAGCUGGUCUGAGAGGAUGACCAGCCACACUGGAACGUAGACACGGUCCAGACUCCUACGGGAGGCAGCAGUGGGGAAUAUUGCACAAUGGGCGCAAGCCUGAUGCAGCCAUGCCGCGUGUAUGAAGAAGGCGUUAGGGUUGUAAAGUACUUGCAGCGGGGAGGCGUUACCCGCAGAAGAAGCACCGGCUAACUCCGUGCCAGCAGCCGCGGUAAUAC
This 406-nucleotide ribosomal RNA is filed under the name uncultured bacterium. RNAcentral describes it as "partial 16S ribosomal RNA". It matches the Rfam family "Bacterial small subunit ribosomal RNA", at positions 30 to 526 of the family's 1533-position model. The record is from RNAcentral.